Long non-coding RNA from Myzus persicae (green peach aphid), 411 nucleotides. RefSeq lists it as uncharacterized. The transcript is spliced from 3 exons. Lineage: Eukaryota; Metazoa; Arthropoda; Insecta; Hemiptera; Aphididae. The record is from RefSeq and is a predicted model, not a curated record.
ACAAUUAUCGUUAUAUUACAAUGAUCACGCCACCCAGCCGUCCCACUUUGAAUCGGUCGGUGGCAGUGUAUAUAAAGGUGUCCGAGAUCUCGAUUCCGGCAUAACACAUCCUUUUGUGCAGAUAUAUUCUUUGUUUUCACUUUAACCCUCAAAAACCAACCAAAAACCAAAAAUGGGCGCUGAAAAAGUAUCCAUGAACAUCGUCGUCGUCGGACAAGUCCAAUCUGCCAAGGCCAUCAAAUCGGUCGCCAAAGCCACUCCAGCCACCAGCCAAUUGAUGAACUGUUAAUUCAUGUAGUCAAUACAUUGCAAAACUCAAAAAUGCCAUAUCCCAAACAGUACAAUAAUAUGUAACUCAUAUCUGUAUUGACACCGCAAAAUAAAUCAGUCGUUUCCGUUGUAUAUACUUAA